CACAGAGUUAGCCGUGCCUUCCUCUGGGGUAGAUCAGAACUUUCUUACCCCUGACAGUGGUUUACAUCCCGAAGGACUUCGUCCCACACGCGGCGUCGCUCCGUCACACUUUCGUGCAUUGCGGAAGAUUCGUUACUGCAGCCCCCCGUAGGAGUCUGGGCAGUGUCUCAGUCCCAAUGUGGCCGGCCAACCUCUCAGUCCGGCUACGCGUCGUCGCCUUGGUGAGCCGUUACCUCACCAACUAGCUGAUACGAAAUCGCCUGCUCCCAGACCGGCGGACCUUUGAGAACCUCACCAUGCGGAAAGGUUAUAUCAUCUGGUAUUACCCGGCCUUUCGGCCGGCUAUCCCAGAGUCCGGGGCACAUUAGCGAUUCAUUACUCACCCGUUCGCCACUGUGUAUUGCUACACCGUACGACUUGCAUGUCUUAGCCACGCCGCCAGCGUUCAGGCUGAGCCAGGAUCAAACUCU
This 470-nucleotide ribosomal RNA is filed under the name uncultured bacterium. RNAcentral's name for it is "partial 16S ribosomal RNA". The record is from RNAcentral.